Molecule: ribosomal RNA, 492 nt
Filed under: uncultured bacterium
Lineage: Bacteria
Description: partial 16S ribosomal RNA
Rfam family: Bacterial small subunit ribosomal RNA
Source: RNAcentral
AGUGAACGCUGGCGGUAGGCCUAACACAUGCAAGUCGAACGGCAGCACAGUAAGAGCUUGCUCUUACGGGUGGCGAGUGGCGGACGGGUGAGGAAUACAUCGGAAUCUACUUUUUCGUGGGGGAUAACGUAGGGAAACUUACGCUAAUACCGCAUACGACCUACGGGUGAAAGCAGGGGAUCUUCGGACCUUGCGCGAUUGAAUGAGCCGAUGUCGGAUUAGCUAGUUGGCGGGGUAAAGGCCCACCAAGGCGACGAUCCGUAGCUGGUCUGAGAGGAUGAUCAGCCACACUGGAACUGAGACACGGUCCAGACUCCUACGGGAGGCAGCAGUGGGGAAUAUUGGACAAUGGGCGCAGGCCUGAUCCAGCCAUACCGCGUGGGUGAAGAAGGCCUUCGGGUUGUAAAGCCCUUUUGUUGGGAAAGAAAAGCAGCAGGUUAAUACCCCGCUGUUCUGACGGUACCCAAAGAGUAAGCACCGGCUAACUUCGUG